UUUCCACUUCAGUUUCUCCUUCAAGCAGAAGUGGCAUACGAGAGUCAUAGUUACUCCCGCCGUUUACCUGAGCUUCAUUGAAUUUCUUCACUUUGACAUUCAGAGCACUGGGAAGAAAUCACAUCACGUCAACACCCGCCGCGGGCCU
This is a long non-coding RNA of Sapajus apella (tufted capuchin), 148 nucleotides long. RefSeq lists it as uncharacterized. NCBI's taxonomy places the organism in Eukaryota, Metazoa, Chordata, Mammalia, Primates, Cebidae. The transcript is spliced from 3 exons. The record is from RefSeq and is a predicted model, not a curated record.